This 497-nucleotide ribosomal RNA is filed under the name uncultured bacterium. RNAcentral's name for it is "partial 16S ribosomal RNA". It matches the Rfam family "Bacterial small subunit ribosomal RNA", at positions 28 to 507 of the family's 1533-position model. The record is from RNAcentral.
GACGAACGCUGGCGGCGUGCCUAAUACAUGCAAGUUGAGCGAUGAAGAUUGGUGCUUGCACCAAUUUGAAGAGCAGCGAACGGGUGAGUAACGCGUGGGGAAUCUGCCUUUGAGCGGGGGACAACAUUUGGAAACGAAUGCUAAUACCGCAUAACAACUUUAAACAUAAGUUUUAAGUUUGAAAGAUGCAAUUGCAUCACUCAAAGAUGAUCCCGCGUUGUAUUAGCUAGUUGGUGAGGUAAAGGCUCACCAAGGCGAUGAUACAUAGCCGACCUGAGAGGGUGAUCGGCCACAUUUGGACUGAGACACGGCCCAAACUCCUACGGGAGGCAGCAGUAGGGAAUCUUCGGCAAUGGACGAAAGUCUGACCGAGCAACGCCGCGUGAGUGAAGAAGGUUUUCGGAUCGUAAAACUCUGUUGGUAGAGAAGAACGUUGGUGAGAGUGGAAAGCUCAUCAAGUGACGGUAACUACCCAGAAAGGGACGGCUAACUACGUG